RNAcentral lists this ribosomal RNA (419 nucleotides) under uncultured bacterium. RNAcentral's name for it is "bacterial SSU rRNA". It matches the Rfam family "Bacterial small subunit ribosomal RNA", at positions 529 to 947 of the family's 1533-position model. The record is from RNAcentral.
AAGGUGCAAGCGUUAAUCGGAAUUACUGGGCGUAAAGCGUGCGUAGGUGGUUUGUUAAGUCAGAUGUGAAAGCCCCGGGCUCAACCUGGGAACUGCAUUUGAAACUGGUAAACUAGAGUAUAGGAGAGGAAAGUGGAAUUUCUGGUGUAGCGGUGAAAUGCGUAGAUAUUAGAAGGAACAUCAAUGGCGAAGGCAGCUUUCUGGACUAAUACUGACACUGAGGUACGAAAGCGUGGGUAGCAAACAGGAUUAGAUACCCUGGUAGUCCACGCCGUAAACGAUGAUAACUAGUCGUUGAGGGGGAUUACCCUUUAGUGGCGAAGCUAACGCGUUAAGUUAUCCGCCUGGGGAGUACGGCCGCAAGGUUAAACUCAAAGGAAAUUGACGGGGACCCGCACAAGCGGUGGAGCAUGUGGUUU